Molecule: ribosomal RNA, 465 nt
Filed under: uncultured bacterium
Lineage: Bacteria
Description: partial 16S ribosomal RNA
Rfam family: Bacterial small subunit ribosomal RNA
Source: RNAcentral
GAUGAACGCUGGCGGCGUGCUUAACACAUGCAAGUCGAACGGAAAGGCUCCUGCUUGCAGGGGUACUCGAGUGGCGAACGGGUGAGUAACACGUGGGUGAUCUGCCCUGCACUUCGGGAUAAGCCUGGGAAACUGGGUCUAAUACCGGAUAGGACGAUGGUUUGGAUGCCAUUGUGGAAAGUUUUUCGGUGUGGGCUGGGCUCGCGGCCUAUCAGCUUGUUGGUGGGGUAAUGGCCUACCAAGGCGUCGACGGGUAGCCGGCCUGAGAGGGUGUACGGCCACAUUGGGACCGAGAUACGGCCCAGACUCCUACGGGAGGCAGCAGUGGGGAAUAUUGCACAAUGGGCGCAAGCCUGAUGCAGCGACGCCGCGUGGGGGAUGACGGCCUUCGGGUUGUAAACUCCUUUCGCUAGGGACGAAGCGCAAGUGACGGUACCUGGAGAAGAAGCACCGGCUAACUACGUG